GAGAAUUGAAGAACUGAAUCAGAGCCUGGCUGCCCAGGAGAUGCUUGUAGAACAGCUGUCUCGGGAGAAACAACAACUGCUACAUCUGUUGGAGGAGCCAACUAGCAUGGAAGUGC
This 116-nucleotide small RNA is filed under the name Pan troglodytes (chimpanzee). RNAcentral describes it as "processed transcript". The record is from RNAcentral. Lineage: Eukaryota; Metazoa; Chordata; Mammalia; Primates; Hominidae.